GCCUACGGCCAUACCACGUUGAACACACCGGUUCUCGUCCGAUCACCGAAGUUAAGCAACGUCGGGCCUGGUUAGUACUUGGAUGGGUGACCGCCUGGGAACACCAGGUGCUGUAGGCA
RNAcentral lists this ribosomal RNA (119 nucleotides) under Pomacea canaliculata. The record is from RNAcentral. Lineage: Eukaryota; Metazoa; Mollusca; Gastropoda; Architaenioglossa; Ampullariidae.